Long non-coding RNA from Halichondria panicea, 882 nucleotides. RefSeq lists it as uncharacterized. The record is from RefSeq and is a predicted model, not a curated record. The transcript has 3 exons. NCBI's taxonomy places the organism in Eukaryota, Metazoa, Porifera, Demospongiae, Suberitida, Halichondriidae.
ACCAAUCACAGUGCAGAAGCAAUGUCAUGUGACAUAUUUCGCCCACGUAAUUCGUUGUAGUUGGGCUGGGUCUUAUUUUGUGUUAGAUAAACCACAGGACAUAACCCACAUUCACUUGAUAGUUACGCAACUUUGGUCAACCGCACAAACCACAAGAUGAUGUCAUGCAACUAAUUAAAAUUCCACAAGAACAACUCGCAGAUUGGCAGUUGACCAGUCCCAAUCCUCAAGAUAGUGAUGAUGGGAGUGGCCAGCGAGUCUAGUGUCCAUUAUUUAGAGGGUCUCAUCUAAUUGGAGGUACAUGUAACUCUAUCUGAUAGCCUCGUGGAAUCAGCUAUACUAUAGUACUCUACGUUGCUAAGCACCACUCUAAAUAAUAUUAUAAGUGCCAAACUGGAAUUAUGGUUUUUUCUUGUUCUAUUUGUGCGCCACUGAAAAUCUUUAACGGCGCUGUAAUUAGAAGAAAGACGGUAUAUUGUGAGACGCCAACUGCCCAGAGGGAAACCACGCCAUUUGCAAAAAUAUGCCUAAUUCCCUCUCACAUCUAAAGUUCUUUCAAAAUGGUGGUCGUACUUUUUUGAAGGUACUAUAAUUAUUGUUGUAAGAAUUGAUGUGAAAAAAAAUUGCAGGAUGAUGUUGAAAGUGACAUGUGUUGGAGAGAGCAUUAUACUGGACACCCUUGUAUGACCAGACCACUGUAAAGUAUCGACACAAUUGGAGGUGAUGCUUAGAAGUCAAAGGCAGUAUCUUACAAUUGCAGUGAACCGAGUGCAGACUUGCUAUGGUUAACUAACUAUGUUUAAAAAAACCUUUCACUUUUAUAUCCUCAUCGUUUGUUUAAUACAAUUUUAAUACUGUAUUGAUGUAUUGUUGUUUGUAAUG